GCCGGGCGUGGUGGCUCAUGCCUGUAAUCCCAGCACUUUGGGAGGCCGAGGUGGGCGGAUCACCUGAGGUCAGGAGUUCAAGACCAGCCUGACCAACAUGGAGAAACCCCAUCUCUA
RNAcentral lists this non-coding RNA (117 nucleotides) under Pan troglodytes (chimpanzee). The record is from Rfam by way of RNAcentral. Lineage: Eukaryota; Metazoa; Chordata; Mammalia; Primates; Hominidae.